AUUGAACGCUGGCGGCAGGCUUAACACAUGCAAGUCGAGCGAGCGGCGGACGGGUGAGUAAUGUCUGGGAAACUGCCUGAUGGCGGGGGAUAACUACUGGAAAAGGUAGCUAAUACCGCAUACAAUCAGAUGUGCCCAGAUGGGAUUAGCUAGUAGGUGGGGUAAUGGCUCACCUAGGCAACGAUCCCUAGCUGGUCUGAGAGGAUGACAAGCCACACUGGAACUGAGACACGGUCCAGACGCCUACGGGAGGCAGCAGUGGGGAAUAUUGCACAAUGGGCGAAAGCCUGAUGCAGCCAUGCCGCGAGUGUGAGGAAGGCCUUCGGGUUGUAAAGCACUGUCGGCGAGGAUGCGUUACUCGCAGAAGAAGCACCGGCUAACUCCGUGCCAGCAGCCGCGGUAAUAC
This 406-nucleotide ribosomal RNA is filed under the name uncultured bacterium. RNAcentral's name for it is "partial 16S ribosomal RNA". It matches the Rfam family "Bacterial small subunit ribosomal RNA", at positions 30 to 526 of the family's 1533-position model. The record is from RNAcentral.